This is a small nucleolar RNA of Ornithorhynchus anatinus (platypus), 138 nucleotides long. The record is from RefSeq and is a predicted model, not a curated record. Lineage: Eukaryota; Metazoa; Chordata; Mammalia; Monotremata; Ornithorhynchidae.
CUCCUCUGAGGGUCGCACCUGGAAAGUUUCCAGUAUUCUACCAGUCUCGGCUAGGGGAGGGGAAGUCAAGCAGACACAUACCCAUUCCAUUCCUAGCUUGGGCAGUGACUAGUGAGUGGAAGGCAGUCUGCUACAAGU